This 119-nucleotide ribosomal RNA is filed under the name Aegilops tauschii subsp. strangulata. Lineage: Eukaryota; Viridiplantae; Streptophyta; Magnoliopsida; Poales; Poaceae. The record is from RNAcentral.
GGAUGCGAUCAUACCAGCACUAAAGCACCGGAUCCCAUCAAAACUCUGUAGUUAAGCGUGCUUGGGCGAGAGUAGUACUAGGAUGGGUGACCUCCUGGGAAGUCCUCGUGUUGCAUUCC